AUUGAACGCUGGCGGCAGGCCUAACACAUGCAAGUCGAGCGGAUGAAGGGAGCUUGCUCCUGGAUUCAGCGGCGGACGGGUGAGUAAUGCCUAGGAAUCUGCCUGGUAGUGGGGGAUAACGUCCGGAAACGGGCGCUAAUACCGCAUACGUCCUGAGGGAGAAAGUGGGGGAUCUUCGGACCUCACGCUAUCAGAUGGGCCUAGGUCGGAUUAGCUAGUUGGUGGGGUAAAGGCCUACCGAGGCGACGAUCCGUAACUGGUCUGAGAGGAUGAUCAGUCACACUGGAACUGAGACACGGUCCAGACUCCUACGGGAGGCAGCAGUGGGGAAUAUUGGACAAUGGGCGAAAGCCUGAUCCAGCCAUGCCGCGUGUGUGAAGAAGGUCUUCGGAUUGUAAAGCACUUUAAGUUGGGAGGAAGGGCAGUAAGUUAAUACCUUGCUGUUUUGACGUUACCAACAGAAUAAGCACCGGCUAACUUCGUG
This 484-nucleotide ribosomal RNA is filed under the name uncultured bacterium. Its description in RNAcentral is "partial 16S ribosomal RNA". It matches the Rfam family "Bacterial small subunit ribosomal RNA", at positions 30 to 507 of the family's 1533-position model. The record is from RNAcentral.